GUGCCAGCCGCCGCGGUAAUACGGAGGGUGCAAGCGUUAUCCGGAAUCACUGGGUUUAAAGGGUGCGUAGGCGGUCAGAUAAGUCAGUUGUGAAAUACCCCGGCUUAACCGGAGGAACUGCGAUUGAUACUGUUUGACUUGAAUCAGGUUGAGGUAGGCGGAAUGUGGCAUGUAGCGGUGAAAUGCUUAGAUAUGCCAUAGAACACCGAUUGCGAAGGCAGCUUGCUGGGCCUGUAUUGACGCUGAGGCACGAAAGCGUGGGGAGCAAACAGGAUUAGAAACCCCCGUAGUCC
RNAcentral lists this ribosomal RNA (293 nucleotides) under uncultured bacterium. RNAcentral's name for it is "partial 16S ribosomal RNA". It matches the Rfam family "Bacterial small subunit ribosomal RNA", at positions 505 to 796 of the family's 1533-position model. The record is from RNAcentral.